RNAcentral lists this ribosomal RNA (498 nucleotides) under uncultured bacterium. RNAcentral's name for it is "partial 16S ribosomal RNA". It matches the Rfam family "Bacterial small subunit ribosomal RNA", at positions 30 to 523 of the family's 1533-position model. The record is from RNAcentral.
AUUGAACGCUGGCGGCAUGCCUUACACAUGCAAGUCGAACGGUAACAGGUCUUCGGAUGCUGACGAGUGGCGAACGGGUGAGUAAUACAUCGGAACGUGCCUAGUAGUGGGGGAUAACUACUCGAAAGAGUGGCUAAUACCGCAUGAGAUCUACGGAUGAAAGCAGGGGAUCGCAAGACCUUGUGCUACUAGAGCGGCCGAUGGCAGAUUAGGUAGUUGGUGGGAUAAAAGCUUACCAAGCCGACGAUCUGUAGCUGGUCUGAGAGGACGAUCAGCCACACUGGGACUGAGAAACGGCCCAGACUCCUACGGGAGGCAGUAGUGGGGAAUUUUGGACAAUGGGCGCAAGCCUGAUCCAGCAAUGCCGCGUGCAGGAUGAAGGCCUUCGGGUUGUAAACUGCUUUUGUACGGAACGAAAAGCCCCGGGUUAAUGCCCUGGGGUCAUGACGGUACCGUAAGAAUAAGCACCGGCUAACUACGUGCCAGCCGCCGCCGUAA